UUUGGUUAUAUUUCCAGAUCGGUGAAUUUCAAUGGUUCUGCUUUAUUAUUUGUGUACCGUUUUAUUUCCUGAAGCCUCAGCUAGAAGGAUCCCUCAGCAUUUCUGACCUCGCUUGGAAAGGUUGCCUUUCCCCAGCUGCACAAGGAGAACAAUUGUGCAAAGCAAAGCGAACCCGGCGCUGCGCUCUGCUGUCGGUUCCAGAAGUACAAAGUUGUUGCGGUUACCCCAGCUCAGGCUGUAGCAUCUCCAUGGCCAAGGAAAGGUGGACGACUGCUCGAGGCAACUGCCUGGGAACCACAGCAUCAUGGAAGGGAAGGCCGUCUGUGCUCCAUGACAGCUGUCCUGGCUGCCGACCUGUGUGCACACCCCCAAACCCUUCAGUCUGAGGCAGUCCUGAACAGGGCAGUUAUAUGGACCAACCUCAUUACUCUGCUGCAGACUUGAUUCCAGAGGUGUAAGAACGGAAGUGUGCUCGUUGCGUGCAGUGAGCAUCAGCAAAUUUGUAUCUCAUUUAUAAAAUUCACCCCAACUAGAAUUGGUACAAAUGGCUCCACAGCUGCUUUUUUCAUGUGUGAUGCAGAAUUUGGUGCUGCCCUGCAGCAGCUGCUCAUGCUUGUUGGUGCUGCUGAGCAGCUCCUGUCCCGGCUUGGCCUUCCUCCUGCCUCCAGCAUCGCCACUUGGCAUGCUCAUGGUUCACACAGCAGCCCUGGGACGCCGGGCAGCUCGCUGCACCUGGUUUAGAUUUAAGGCUUGUUUGCACAUGAUGUCACACUCCUAUUGUCAGCGCAGCAAAGGUCAAGACAGUUCAUUUUGGGAAGGUUUGCAUUGUUGAGUCUUCGCAGUGCAGCCCUUAAUGCCUUAACCAUCUGACUUGCAUUUCAGUUUUCUGGCAUGAUGUAAUAAUCAAACGCACUAGGUUUAUACAGCGUAUGGGAGUCUGAUUGGCCCAUGUUGUAGAACUGCUUUUCUGGAGACUGGGUCCAUGCUGGAGUCUCCCUCCCAGAGCAGACCUUGGACAUAGCAAAGCAAAGGUGCGUUCAGUGCAUUGCUGUG
This 1053-nucleotide long non-coding RNA is filed under the name Gallus gallus (chicken). RNAcentral describes it as "long non-coding RNA NONGGAT007867". The record is from RNAcentral. Lineage: Eukaryota; Metazoa; Chordata; Aves; Galliformes; Phasianidae.